Molecule: ribosomal RNA, 581 nt
Filed under: Staphylococcus sp.
Lineage: Bacteria; Bacillati; Bacillota; Bacilli; Caryophanales; Staphylococcaceae
Description: bacterial SSU rRNA
Rfam family: Bacterial small subunit ribosomal RNA
Source: RNAcentral
CAGCAGUAGGGAUCUUCCGCAAUGGGCGAAAGCCUGACGGAGCAACGCCGCGUGAGUGAUGAAGGUCUUCGGAUCGUAAAACUCUGUUAUUAGGGAAGAACAAAUGUGUAAGUAACUAUGCACGUCUUGACGGUACCUAAUCAGAAAGCCACGGCUAACUACGUGCCAGCAGCCGCGGUAAUACGUAGGUGGCAAGCGUUAUCCGGAAUUAUUGGGCGUAAAGCGCGCGUAGGCGGUUUUUUAAGUCUGAUGUGAAAGCCCACGGCUCAACCGUGGAGGGUCAUUGGAAACUGGAAAACUUGAGUGCAGAAGAGGAAAGUGGAAUUCCAUGUGUAGCGGUGAAAUGCGCAGAGAUAUGGAGGAACACCAGUGGCGAAGGCGACUUUCUGGUCUGUAACUGACGCUGAUGUGCGAAAGCGUGGGGAUCAAACAGGAUUAGAUACCCUGGUAGUCCACGCCGUAAACGAUGAGUGCUAAGUGUUAGGGGGUUUCCGCCCCUUAGUGCUGCAGCUAACGCAUUAAGCACUCCGCCUGGGGAGUACGACCGCAAGGUUGAAACUCAAAGGAAUUGACGGGGCCCC